This 1523-nucleotide long non-coding RNA is filed under the name Sarcophilus harrisii (Tasmanian devil). RNAcentral's name for it is "lncRNA (ENSSHAG00000020893.1)". The record is from RNAcentral. Lineage: Eukaryota; Metazoa; Chordata; Mammalia; Dasyuromorphia; Dasyuridae.
CUAAUAUAAGACUCAGUAUAUAUGGAAGGGUUAAAGAAUUUAAACCAAAUAUUAGGGUUAGAAAAAUAAAAAGGAUUAUUACAGUAUAUAAGGAAAUUAUAGAUAUGACAGAUAAAAUGAAUGGAAAAUAGAUGCAAUACAUUUCCCUGAAUUGUCCUGUUCUGAACUCAUUAACAAUUAUUUAUAGAUAUCCAGAGCCUCAGGCUGUCAACUUCUGUGACUCUUCCCAGAUGUCCUACUGAGACCUCUGUGCAUUAGUAUUAUUUUCAUAUACAAUAGAAAGCCAGAUGACAUCUACUGUGCACAUCAGAGCAUGAGAUCAUAUGAAAGUACCUGGACUAAAUCCCCAUUGAUUGGUUCUGGAACUCUUCAGAUUAUAUUAAUUAAAGAGCUCUUAGGGGAAUAGGAAGAAAAAGAAGACAAUGUCUUCUUUCUCUGACAAUGAUCUUUGGUGAUACUGAGAUACAAUGAAUUUGUACACCCUGUCAAUAUUAUGCUUUGUCAAAAUUGACAAGGUAAUAGUAGGACUGGCCUUUCAGUUUGAAUAUCCAAAUAACUGAUUUAAUCCUCUGUUUUGGUUCAGACAUGGUUGGAUAAUUAUUUCCAAUUGUUUCUUUCCAUUUUUCUUGGAUACCACAAGCUACAUUAAGACCUAGAGAUAAAGAAAGAGUCUUCUUUCAAAGUAGGAAGGAGAUUUGGUAGAGAACAGGGAAUAUAAGAGAUUCUUUAAAGACUUGUCAUGAUGAAGAUAGAUUAGAUUUGAUCUGCUUGGCCCCAAAAAGUAAGAGUAGGAUCACAGUAUCAGUGUCAGAAAAAGAUAAUUCCCAAUAACUAGAGGUGCUUUAGAAUAGACUGUCUUGGGAUGACUUCCCCAUUCUUGGAGGUCUUCAAGAAAAGCAUGGAUGAUCGGGGUAUGGCAGAGAGGAUUUCUGUUUAGUUACCACUUAAAUUAGAUGAUCUCUCAGGUCUCAUCCAUUGCUGGAGUUCUAGAUUCCCAUGAAAUCACUUAAAAUCUAUAUAUGCCUUUUUAACAUAUCAAAAACAAAAGUCAGCUACAAAUAUUUAAAUGCUCCAAAAUUUUAUCAUAUAUUGACUAGUGUAUAAACAUCUUCCUAUUUCAAUUGUUUGAGUCUAAAUCAAACUGGAGAAAAUUAUAUUUUAGCCUCUUUAUUUUUUAGAAAAGAAAUGCAGACAACGGAGAAUGAUUUUCCAUCAAGAAUGAUGGUGUCCAUCACUGAGCUGUUUGGACAGAUCUAUUCUGAGAACUUUGUGCAGGAUAUCAAUUUGCUAAGACAUGGAAAAAGGCUCGUAGGUUCCCUUCCUUUUAAUAAUCAUAGUUUUCAAUGAUAAUAAUGACAAGCCUAUGUUUUGAAAAGCAAAAGCAAGGUCCACCUAGAAAUUUGUUUGCCAUACUUAGCUAAGAAAAGGUAAUUAGGUUACCAAGGUAGUGUCCUUGAGCUCAGGUUUGCCAAAGCCAGCUCUCUCCUAGUCCUCCUUCUAUUUUUCUAAGCACUUCUUUUCAG